GAUGAACGCUGGCGGCGUGCCUAAUACAUGCAAGUCGAGCGAAUGGAUUAAGAGCUUGCUCUUAUGAAGUUAGCGGCGGACGGGUGAGUAACACGUGGGUAACCUGCCCAUAAGACUGGGAUAACUCCGGGAAACCGGGGCUAAUACCGGAUAACAUUUUGAACCGCAUGGUUCGAAAUUGAACGGCGGCUUCGGCUGUCACCUAUGGAUGGACCCGCGUCGCAUUAGCUAGUUGGUGAGGUAACGGCUCACCAAGGCAACGAUGCGUAGCCGACCUGAGAGGGUGAUCGGCCACACUGGGACUGAGACACGGCCCAGACUCCUACGGGAGGCAGCAGUAGGGAAUCUUCCGCAAUGGACGAAAGUCUGACGGAGCAACGCCGCGUGAGUGAUGAAGGCUUUCGGGUCGUAAAACUCUGUUGUUAGGGAAGAACAAGUGCUAGUUGAGUAAGCUGGCACCUUGACGGUACCUAACCAGAAAGCCACGGCUAACUACGUGCCAGCAGCCGCGGUAA
Molecule: ribosomal RNA, 515 nt
Filed under: uncultured bacterium
Lineage: Bacteria
Description: partial 16S ribosomal RNA
Rfam family: Bacterial small subunit ribosomal RNA
Source: RNAcentral